CAAUAGCGUAUAUUAAAGUUGUUGCGGUAAAAAAGCUCGUAGUUGGAUUUCUACCGAAGAUAGCCGGUCGGGUCUCCGACCUUGUAUCUGGUUUUGUCUUUGGUAUCCUCAUAGGGAACGUUUCUGCGCUUUAUUGCGUGGUGCGGUAUCUAUGACUUUUACUUUGAGGAAAUUAGAGUGUUCACGGCAGGCAAACGCCUUGAAUAUAUUAGCAUGGAAUAAUAACAUAGGAUCUUCGUCCUAUUUUGUUGGUUUCUAGGGCUAAGAUAAUGAUUAAUAGGGAUAAUUGGGGGCAUCUGUAUCAACGCGUCAGAGGUGGAAUUCUUGGAUUGCGUUGCGACAAACUACUGCGAAAGCAUUUGCCAAGGAUGUUUUCAUUGA
This 381-nucleotide ribosomal RNA is filed under the name uncultured eukaryote. Its description in RNAcentral is "partial 18S ribosomal RNA". It matches the Rfam family "Eukaryotic small subunit ribosomal RNA", at positions 592 to 976 of the family's 1831-position model. The record is from RNAcentral.